GAUGAACGCUAGCGGCAGGCCUAACACAUGCAAGUCGAGGGGUAACAGGAAAGCUUGCUUUUGCUGACGACCGGCGCACGGGUGCGUAACGCGUAUGCAACCUACCUCAUACAGGAGAAUAGCCCUUGGAAACGAGGAUUAAUACUCCAUGGUAUCAUUUUUUCGCAUGUUAAAAUGAUUAAAGAAUUUCGGUAUGAGAUGGGCAUGCGUCCCAUUAGCUAGUUGGUGAGGUAACGGCUCACCAAGGCGACGAUGGGUAGGGGGCCUGAGAGGGUGAUCCCCCACACUGGUACUGAGACACGGACCAGACUCCUACGGGAGGCAGCAGUGAGGAAUAUUGGUCAAUGGAGGCAACUCUGAACCAGCCAUGCCGCGUGAAGGAUGACGGCCCUAUGGGUUGUAAACUUCUUUUAUAUGGGAAGAAACUUAUCUACGUGUAGAUAACUGACGGUACCAUACGAAUAAGGAUCGGCUAACUCCGUG
Molecule: ribosomal RNA, 483 nt
Filed under: uncultured bacterium
Lineage: Bacteria
Description: bacterial SSU rRNA
Rfam family: Bacterial small subunit ribosomal RNA
Source: RNAcentral